Molecule: ribosomal RNA, 486 nt
Filed under: uncultured bacterium
Lineage: Bacteria
Description: partial 16S ribosomal RNA
Rfam family: Bacterial small subunit ribosomal RNA
Source: RNAcentral
AUUGAACGCUGGCGGCAUGCCUUACACAUGCAAGUCGAACGGCAGCACGGGUGCUUGCACCUGGUGGCGAGUGGCGAACGGGUGAGUAAUACAUCGGAACAUGUCCUGUAGUGGGGGAUAGCCCGGCGAAAGCCGGAUUAAUACCGCAUACGAUCCACGGAUGAAAGCGGGGGACCUUCGGGCCUCGCGCUAUAGGGUUGGCCGAUGGCUGAUUAGCUAGUUGGUGGGGUAAAGGCCUACCAAGGCGACGAUCAGUAGCUGGUCUGAGAGGACGACCAGCCACACUGGGACUGAGACACGGCCCAGACUCCUACGGGAGGCAGCAGUGGGGAAUUUUGGACAAUGGGCGAAAGCCUGAUCCAGCAAUGCCGCGUGUGUGAAGAAGGCCUUCGGGUUGUAAAGCACUUUUGACCGGAAAGAAAUCCUUGACUCUAAUACAGUCGGGGGAUGACGGUACCGGAAGAAUAAGCACCGGCUAACUACGUG